GGAAGUAAAAGUCGUAACAAGGUUUCCGUAGGUGAACCUGCGGAAGAUCAUUAAAAAAUUCUGCCAUUGUUUGGUGGAAACAAAUCAUCCUACCCUUGUGAAUUUGUUGUUUGUAAUAAUUUUUAAAAGAAAAUAUUUACUGUCUAUCCCUGGAUAGUAAAGUUGAAGGAGUAAUCUAGAAACUUUGCUUUCGGGAAUAGUAUGUAAUAAAUUUUCAUUUAAAGACCUUUUUUUAAAUUAAACUUUUGUAUUCAUUUGUCUAAAAUUAUUUUUAAAUAAUUUAAAACAACUUCUGACAAUGGAUCUUGGUUCUCGCAACGAUGAAGAACGCAGCAAAAUGCGAUAAGUAGUGUGAAUUGCAGAUACGUGAAUCAUCAAAUCUUCGAACGCAUAUUGCACUUUUUAGUUUACUAAAAAGUAGUCUGUUGAGUAUCAGUAAAAUAUUCUCAAUAAACUUUUUGUUUAUUGGUAUGAGUGUUUACAACGAUACAGUGUUUCACUUUAAAUGACUUAUUAAACCUAUCAUUAGGUCAAUUUUAAAUUGGAUAAAAUUUCCUGUAAAAGGGAAUAACUUGACAGUUUUAAGAAGAUCUAAAAGGUUUCUUAAAGGAAUUUAUAAUAAACUAACUUGAUCUCAAAUCAGAUAAGAGUACCCGCUGAACUUAAGCAUAUCAAUAAGCGGAGGAAAGAAACUAACAAGGAUUCCCUAGUAACGGCGAGUGAGCGGGAAGAGCUCAAUUUGAAAUCUUCAAGGGUUCCCUUGACGAAUUGUAGUUAUAGAAGGUUUUCUGUUAGAGAGUGGUAAAGUUCUUUGAAUAGGACAUCAUAGAGGGUGGAAUCCCGUAUUGAUCACUUCUACUAACGUUGUGAUACACUUUCAACGAGUCGGAUGUUUGGGAAUGCAGUCCAAAAUGGUGGUAAAUUCAUCUAAAGCUAAUAUUGGCGAGAGACCGAUAGCGAACAAGUACCGUGAGGAAAGAUGAAAGAACUUGAAAAGAGAGUUAACAGUACGUGAAAUUGUCAAAGGGAGCGUUUGACACCAGUGUUGUUUUCCGAAAAUCAAUUACGAAUGCGGGAUUCUAAGUUUCAUGACCUUAAAGCUGUUCUUUCUUUCCGUCUUUCUUAUGCACUUUCGGUUAACAAGUCACAUCAAUUUCUUUGUUGUAAAAGGUUAAGAGGAAGGUGGCUUACUUCGGGUAAGUGUUUAUAGCCUUUAACUCUGCAAUCGAGAGAUGAGGUCUGCAGCGUAGAUCCUCGGGGCUAGAUACGUUGUGCUAAGUUAUAGCUUUCAUAGACAACUUGUUGACUAUGUUUAGUCUUGUAGCUUACUCGCAGAUGCUAUUUACCUACGCUAGGAUGUGAA
This 1363-nucleotide unclassified non-coding RNA is filed under the name uncultured Neocallimastigales. RNAcentral describes it as "partial contains small subunit ribosomal RNA, internal transcribed spacer 1, 5.8S ribosomal RNA, internal transcribed spacer 2, and large subunit ribosomal RNA". The stretch from base 630 to 1363 matches the Rfam family "Eukaryotic large subunit ribosomal RNA", at positions 1 to 629 of the family's 3401-position model. Lineage: Eukaryota; Fungi; Neocallimastigomycota; Neocallimastigomycetes; Neocallimastigales. The record is from RNAcentral.